AAUUGGUCUGAGAGUUGUUGUUUAUUGUUAAGCUGUUUAACAUUGUCUCCCAUCCACAACUGCCUUUGACUGACUUGUG
Molecule: unclassified non-coding RNA, 79 nt
Organism: Erinaceus europaeus (western European hedgehog)
Lineage: Eukaryota; Metazoa; Chordata; Mammalia; Eulipotyphla; Erinaceidae
Rfam family: Y RNA
About the family: Y RNAs are components of the Ro ribonucleoprotein particle (Ro RNP), in association with Ro60 and La proteins. The Y RNAs and Ro60 and La proteins are well conserved, but the function of the Ro RNP is not known.
Source: Ensembl